CCUUGUCCUCAUGAAACCUUUUCAAGAAAAACAACUAACUGCGCAUGCUCCACAAAUUUAAGAUAACACAGACAUGAAUAUUUAAUUGUGGCAAAAGAAGACUGGUCUAUUUCAAUGAGGACAGGCAAGACCCCACCUACAGAGACUAUGCUGUGGAGAUAGGUAUAUAAAGACAUGUUUGUGUAUGCAUAAUUCGGACACUCUGCAGACUGUCACACUUUAUUGAUUUUCAAUAAAGUUUAUUUACUUUUUGACAUCUACUAAACUCUCUGUCUACAAAGUUUUUGACCUAGGCUAAAAGGUUGAUUUUAUUCACGACAAUACCUUCUUUUUUCACAGCCUUCUUUGCUAAUAUUUACCAAGGGUGCCAAUAUUAGUGGAGGGUGCUGUAAAUAUAUUUGUAUAGGUCAUGUAAUUAAGUACAGUAUCGAGGUACUUCUUUGAGGUAGGACUACUAGUUUAGAGUAUUUCCAUUCCAAGAACAUUUCAGACAGUAUAACAUCUGAAAAUUAGCUCCACCUUUACAAUCUGCAAUUUUAAAAGGAUUUUUUAAAAUGAAUACAUCCACAAUUAAAAUUCAGUAAUUUAAUUACUGAAUUGUGCAUAACGCAUAUUUAUACUUUUGGUACUAAGCAUGUUUUGUUGCUUAUACUUUUUUAUUUUUACUUAAGUUCAAAUUUAAAUGCAUGACUUGUAACAGUAUUAAUUCAAUGUUGUACUCUUGUAGUUAAAAUAUCAGACUACUUUUUGCACUACUGAUAUACAUACAAUCGAAUUUAGGUUUUACUUAGGUUUUAAGUUAACUGCAUUAAUAAACGUCAACCUUCCUUUAUUUCAAACACUCUAAGCCUGUGAGUCAGAGUUGAGAAUUGGAGAAUAUUGUGAUGCACAUUUAGCUGCCUUCAGUGAGGCCUUAAUUGGUAGCCACGCCCUCCCCCUCCCCUACACCUGCAACUGCGCUGCACGUGCAUCUUGACCUAAAAUGGAUGACUUGAGCAGUGGCCUGGAGAUGUUCAGGAGAAGCCCGGAGUGGUUGAGAUUUCAUCAUAAUCGAUGCGAAAGCUGAUUUUCAAAAACCUUUACAGUGCAGGAAACGAUGGAAGAAAGUUCAACAGAGCUGGAUGAUAUUCAUGAGGAACCAGAGAGUGAUUCCUUGGAAUCUGAAGUAUCCAGCUGCGCAGUACUAGACCCAGAUUACAAUCCGGAACACAGAACGUCAUCAUCCAGUGAUGUGGAAGAUUUGAGCCCAAACAAAGGUUCAUCGCUUAAGAAACAGUCCAGUAAAGAAUAUCUUGAAGGUCCAGACACAAAUUUGAGUAAUGAUGAUCAGUAAAGAGGGAAGUGCACCAUUUAUUAAAAAAAAAAAACAACUUAGAACUUAUCUGAAAAGGCACAAACAACUCGAGAUAAACAAAACAAAUAAAGGCAAAUCAACUGUGACCCUAAAAAUUUGUACAAAAAGGGAAGACCAUAAAUGAGCACUGGACAAAAGACUUUAUUGCCUCUACUGUGGCAAAUCGCAGUUAAAGAUCUCGAGGCAUUUGGGGAGAAAGCAUAUCGAGGUCAAAGAUGUGGCAUAUGCCUUCAGCUUUCCAUUAAGAUCAAAAGAAAGAAAGGUUCUUCUGGAACUGCUACGCAAUAAAGGAGACUUUAAACACAAUUCCAAAGUUCUGGAAAAAAAGUAGAGGACAUGGUGACCUGGAAGCAGCCGUCUGAUAAAGCUUCUCUUAAGGACUAUUUGCCUUGCCCAUAUUGUUUUAGAAUGUUCAGGAAAAAUGACCUGUGGAGACAUCAGUCCUCGUGCAAAACUAAGAAGUCAUGUGUGACUGAUGAAAAAAUAAAAACUAGAUGAGGGAGAGUACAAAGUUGUGCUGCAUGCCUGCUUCCUAUAGCAGCUUCCUCAGACGGACGUCAGAGCAUCAUCAACAUGAGACAAGAUGAUGUGUCCUUUCACGUCAGGAGUGAUUCUUUGAUUUGCAAAUACAGAGAAUCACUUUACGCAAAACACGUUCGUGUGAAGUCUAAGCACCAGUACGUUGCAUAAAGAAUGAGGGAGUACUUUCCCAAAUGAAAAGCUUACAGCACCUAGUAUUCCCAUUCAGUCUCCCAACCAAGUUCUAACCAGGCCCAACUUUGCUUUCGAGGUCAGAUGAGAGGGUUGGGUUUU
This is a long non-coding RNA of Ictalurus punctatus (channel catfish), 2167 nucleotides long. RefSeq lists it as uncharacterized. The transcript is spliced from 3 exons. NCBI's taxonomy places the organism in Eukaryota, Metazoa, Chordata, Actinopteri, Siluriformes, Ictaluridae. The record is from RefSeq and is a predicted model, not a curated record.